Molecule: ribosomal RNA, 278 nt
Filed under: Listeria monocytogenes
Lineage: Bacteria; Bacillati; Bacillota; Bacilli; Caryophanales; Listeriaceae
Description: partial 23S ribosomal RNA
Rfam family: Bacterial large subunit ribosomal RNA
Source: RNAcentral
ACAGGACGGAAAGCCCCCGUGGAGCUUUACUGCAACCUGAUAGGGAAUGUUUGUCCCGCUUGUACAGGAUAGGUAGGAGCCGAAGAGACGUGUGCGCUAGCAUACGAGGAGGCAAUGGUGGGAUACUACCCUGGCUGUAUGACCAUUCUACCCCGCCACGCUUAGCGCGUGGGGAGACAGUGUCAGGUGGGCAGUUUGACUGGGGCGGUCGCCUCCUAAAGAGUAACGGAGGCGCCCAAAGGUUCCCUCAGAAUGGAUGGAAAUCAUUCGCAGAGUGU